GCGCGCGUAGCUCAAUGGAUAGAGCAUCGGUCUACGGAACCGAAGGUUACAGGUUCGAGUCCUGUCGCGCGUG
RNAcentral lists this transfer RNA (73 nucleotides) under Phycisphaerae bacterium. Its description in RNAcentral is "tRNA-Arg". It matches the Rfam family "tRNA". Rfam says of the family: Transfer RNA (tRNA) molecules are approximately 80 nucleotides in length. Their secondary structure includes four short double-helical elements and three loops (D, anti-codon, and T loops). Lineage: Bacteria; Pseudomonadati; Planctomycetota; Phycisphaerae. The record is from RNAcentral.